Molecule: ribosomal RNA, 506 nt
Filed under: uncultured bacterium
Lineage: Bacteria
Description: partial 16S ribosomal RNA
Rfam family: Bacterial small subunit ribosomal RNA
Source: RNAcentral
UAGGGAAUCUUCCACAAUGGACGAAAGUCUGAUGGAGCAACGCCGCGUGAGUGAAGAAGGUUUUCGGAUCGUAAAGCUCUGUUGUUGGUGAAGAAGGAUAGAGGCAGUAACUGGUCUUUAUUUGACGGUAAUCAACCAGAAAGUCACGGCUAACUACGUGCCAGCAGCCGCGGUAAUACGUAGGUGGCAAGCGUUGUCCGGAUUUAUUGGGCGUAAAGCGAGCGCAGGCGGAAUGAUAAGUCUGAUGUGAAAGCCCACGGCUCAACCGUGGAACUGCAUCGGAAACUGUCAUUCUUGAGUGCAGAAGAGGAGAGUGGAACUCCAUGUGUAGCGGUGGAAUGCGUAGAUAUAUGGAAGAACACCAGUGGCGAAGGCGGCUCUCUGGUCUGCAACUGACGCUGAGGCUCGAAAGCAUGGGUAGCGAACAGGAUUAGAUACCCUGGUAGUCCAUGCCGUAAACGAUGAGCGCUAGGUGUUGGGGACUUUCCGGUCCUCAGUGCCGCAGC